UACGUAGGGUGCAAGCGUUAAUCGGAAUUACUGGGCGUAAAGCGUGCGUAGACGGUUAUUUAAGUCAGAUGUGAAAGCCCCGGGCUCAACCUGGGAAUUGCAUUUGAGACUGAAUAGCUAGGGUGCGGUAGAGGGAAGCGGAAUUUCCGGUGUAGCGGUGAAAUGCGUAGAUAUCGGAAGGAACAUCAGUGGCGAAAGCGGCUUCCUGGACCAGCACCGACGUUCAGGCACGAAAGCGUGGGGAGCAAACAGG
Molecule: ribosomal RNA, 253 nt
Filed under: uncultured bacterium
Lineage: Bacteria
Description: partial 16S ribosomal RNA
Rfam family: Bacterial small subunit ribosomal RNA
Source: RNAcentral